Molecule: long non-coding RNA, 2159 nt
Organism: Peromyscus eremicus (cactus mouse)
Lineage: Eukaryota; Metazoa; Chordata; Mammalia; Rodentia; Cricetidae
Exons: 3
Source: RefSeq, a predicted model, not a curated record
UGCCAGCUAUUCACAUUGAGUAGCUUUGCUUGUAUUCCUGCACCCCAGUUUUCCUGCUGAGGAAAACAAAUGAAACAAUCAACGCAUUCUUUAUUGGUGAUUUGUUGUUUGCCUGUUUGUUCUUUUCAUGCUGUAGAUCACACUUGGGGUCCAGCACCAGACAGUGUUUGAGCACACUCAGGGCCCAGCUCCACACAGUGUACCACUCCAGCCCUGACUGAGCACUUUUUAAAUACUAAACACUAUUUCCAUUUCCUUAUGUAGUAACUAAAUCUUUUUCCCCUUCCUUUUGUCCUUGAACUCUUUAUGUAGCUGAGUAUGUUCUUGAACCCCUGAACCAUCUGUGUGCUAAUCUCACAGGUAUGCUGGUUGUUUUCUGUCAACCUGACACAAGCUUGGUUCAUCUGGGAAGAGAGAACCUCAGUUGAGAUGCUGCCUUCAUCAGAGUGGCCUGUAGCUGAGCAGCACCUUGGCUGUAAUCCCAGCUCUGAAGAAGUGGAGGCAAGAGACUUCAACGUCAUUCUGGGCCAAAAUAGUGGGUUGGAACCUCGGAUACCACUAGAGUCCUAAGCUAAGUUUGAUAUUGUUUUAUGUAUAUGAAUAUUUCUUUGCCUGUAUGCAUGCCACUUGCAUGCAUGGUACCCUCAAAGGCCAGAAGAAGGUGUUGGAUCCUUUGGAACUGGAGUUACAGAUGGUUGUGAGCUGCUAUGUCAGUGCUGGGAAUCGAACCCGGACCCUCUGAAAGAGCAGCCAGUGCUCUUAACUUCUGAGCCAUCUCUCCAGCCCCUAAGCUAAACUGGAGAUGGUGGCAUGCUAGAUCCCAGAAUUAUAAACCAUUUUUUCAACAAGUGUCACCAGGAAGAGGAUAUAGCAUCAGUGGCAUUUGUGGUGAUAUUUUGUCUGUGCCCUAACAAAUAAAGCUUGCCUGAAGAUCAGAGUGCAGAGUUAAGCCACUAGUCAGCCACAGAGGCCAGGCAGUGGUGGCACACACCUUUAAUCCCAGCACUAUGGAGGUAGAGACAGGAAGUGAUAUGGCUGGGCGGAGAGAGGAAUACAAGGCGGGAGGAGACAGGAGCUCAUGCGCUUUUGGUCUGAGGAUUCUUUAGAGGUAAGAAGUCUUUCUAGUGACUGGCUGCUCUGCUUCUCUAAUCUUUCAGCAUUUACCCUGAUAUCUGACUCCGGAUUUUUAUUAAGACCAAUUAGAAUUUGUACUACAGACAUUUCUUUCUUUUCUUACUUAAUUGAGUAGUGAGAAGGGCUGAGGGGAUGCUGCUGCCCCGAGACAACACUUACAAUUAUAUGUCAACUUAUUAGCUAAUGUUUGGAUUUGAGGCCUUCUCAAUGAGACUUCACAUCCUAGUGUUACUAACAAUUGGAAUUUGGGAUGCAUCGUUGUUGGGAAGACAUCUUCAGAAGGCUCAGGUCAUUUGUGAGUGUGUGUGGCGUGUUUUGUGUGCGUGUGUGUACGUGUGUACACGUAUGUGCAUGCAUGCAUGUACAUUUGUUUCUUCUGCAGAGGGUGACCUUCAUCAUUUCUGACUUUUCCCUGCAUUCCAUCUCUGCUCUCUAUUUGGAUUGUGUGCCCACAUAUAUUCAGUUCAAAGGAUUUUUUUUUUUAGUUUUUUUAAAAGUUGCAUUAUGGAAUUUAUGUAAAUAUUUUUCUUAUUUUCCUCCCUGAUCAUAAACUUGCCUUCACUCCUGGGUCUGGAAUGUAACCAAAUUGAAAAACGACAACAUGUUUGCAGAGCACAGUGAGGUCAUCCCAAGAAUCCUCGAGCUCAGCAGCAUUGGUGGCCCCCACUCAUCUGCUGAAAGAAGACUAAGAGCCAUUAAAAGUCAUUUCCUGCCCUUCCUUGAUCAUCUGCCGGCCUUCUCUGUCACACCACGAUGGGACUAGAGUGCUUGCCUAGAGUGCAGGGAGGCCUACUUCUCCCGAGUACUGCAAAAGGCAGGUGUGGUGCAUGUGGAUAAUCCUGGCUGCAUCGGAAGUUUGAAGCCAGACUGGAUUAGAAAACAAAACAAAACAAAGAAACGAACAAGAAGGAAAAUUAGAAAAGAAAAACCAGAGAAUGAAUAAAUAAGCAAAUUAAGUUUAUUUGUUUUUGAGGGGAUCCUUGCCCUCCCUCUGUGUUCUGAACUAAUAAAUGUCUCAGGUUUGA